This 423-nucleotide ribosomal RNA is filed under the name uncultured soil bacterium. RNAcentral's name for it is "bacterial SSU rRNA". It matches the Rfam family "Bacterial small subunit ribosomal RNA", at positions 26 to 449 of the family's 1533-position model. The record is from RNAcentral.
AGAUUGAACGCUGGCGGCAGGCCUAACACAUGCAAGUCGAGCGGCAGCACGGGUACUUGUACCUGGUGGCGAGCGGCGGACGGGUGAGUAAUGCCUAGGAAUCUGCCUGAUAGUGGGGGAUAACGCUCGGAAACGGACGCUAAUACCGCAUACGUCCUACGGGAGAAAGCAGGGGACCUUCGGGCCUUGCGCUAUCAGAUGAGCCUAGGUCGGAUUAGCUAGUUGGUGGGUAAUGGCUCACCAAGGCGACGAUCCGUAACUGGUCUGAGAGGAUGAUCAGUCACACUGGAACUGAGACGCGGUCCAGACUCCGUACGGGAGGCAGCAGUGGGAAUAGUUGACAUGGGACGAAAGCCUGAUCCAGCCAUCGCCGCGUGUGUGAAGAGGUCUUCGGAUUCGAAAGCUACGUUUAGGUAGGAGGAA